AACUUUUGUUAUCGAGCGAAACCGGAGGGUUUACUGAGCUGUGGCUCCAUGUAAAUGCUGAGCAUCCACUCGACGGCGGUCAGGUUUUUAUAUGGGACGAAUCCAAAGACCAGGUCAGCGAUUCCAGAACCCAGAGUGUUCCAGUGUUCACUGGAUGGCGAGCCAA
Non-coding RNA from Maylandia zebra (zebra mbuna), 166 nucleotides. NCBI's taxonomy places the organism in Eukaryota, Metazoa, Chordata, Actinopteri, Cichliformes, Cichlidae. The record is from RefSeq and is a predicted model, not a curated record.